RNAcentral lists this unclassified non-coding RNA (227 nucleotides) under Hevea brasiliensis (rubber tree). The record is from RNAcentral. Lineage: Eukaryota; Viridiplantae; Streptophyta; Magnoliopsida; Malpighiales; Euphorbiaceae.
AUAACUGCACUAGGGUUAACAUGGGCUUGACGUGGGUUCAACGAAAAACCAAAACUUGGUGCAUUAAGCUGUGAUCCUGAAGAAAAAGGAGCACUAGGGCCACCAGUAAACUGCUGGACCAUGGCCCGAAAAUUCGUAGUAUCUGUGUUCAGUAAAGUUGUAGGAGUUCUCCUUGAAGCUCUAGACCGUCUACGAACAGGCUUGGAGACGCGACCUUCAGGGCUUAA